RNAcentral lists this long non-coding RNA (2974 nucleotides) under Equus caballus (horse). RNAcentral describes it as "lncRNA (ENSECAG00000050298.1)". Lineage: Eukaryota; Metazoa; Chordata; Mammalia; Perissodactyla; Equidae. The record is from RNAcentral.
AUAAAGGAUGAGGCCAUUUGCCUGUGCCUGGGGCAAAGGGGAGCAGAGAGAGUAAAGAAAUCCUGCAAAAUCAUGACUGCUGGGCUGCUGCGGUCAGCAGAAUAAUAGCCCCCAAAGAUGUCCACGUGCUAACGCCAGGAACCUGUAAAUGUGUUACUUCCACAGCAGGCAAAGGAGAAUUAAAGUUACGAAUCAACAGAUAAGGAAAUUCUCCUGGGUUAUGCAGGUGGGCCCAAUAUAAUCACAAAGCCCUUAAAAGUGGAAGAGAGAGGCAGAAGAGGUCAGGGUGACUGGACGUGACGAGGACUCCACCUCCCACUGCGGCUUUUACAGAAGGAUGAAGGCGGCUGUGAGCCAAGAAAUGUGAGUGGCUCCAGAAGCUAGAAAAGACACGGAAAUGGACCCUCCCCUUGAGCCUCAGGAGAAGAAUGAAAGUAGCCCUGCUGACACCUUGAUUUAGCCCACUGAGACGUACGUUGGACUUCUAACCUACAAAACUAUCUUCUUUCUGAUAGAAGAACAGCACAGUGGCCAAGACAAAGGUGGAAUCAGUGGAAAGAAGUAGAAGCCUGACAUUUAAUAAACUGGAUAAUCAGCAUAAGCUUGGUCAUUGUCGUACUUGAGCUUCAAGUGGAGUCUGAUUAAUUUGGAAACAAUGCAAUUGGGGCAAAUUCCUUCCUUAGAUUUUCAGGCAACUUUGGGUCCAAAGUUAUUAGCUGUUACGAGCAUUCCCACUGGCAAAAAGUGAGAGCAUGCCUCUGUUGACAAAGCCUAAAACAUCAUCUGUGACACCAUGAAUGUUUCAUUGCACAAUAGAGCAGGGAAUACUAGUUACCACACUUCUCCAUUUUUCAUCUCAUGUGAUGGAGCAGAAUACAUCAUGGGUCGUGGGCAAUAGCAACAUGCGUCUGUUUCUUGGCCCUCUCAGCGCCAGGACCGGAGUAAUCUAUUGCGUUAUCUUAUGGCAUUCUGGGUAUUCUUGAGCAAUAUUAGAGACUUAGACUAAGAGAAGGAGGACUCUAAGUAACCUAUUAAAGUAUCAUUUGUCUGGAAGGCUGUGAUAUGCUAAACCUGGAUCAGCAAUUAAGUUUAAUUCCUUGCUCUAUCUGUUUGGAAAUGGAACCUUUAGCAAAAGUGGAUGUGCUUUACCAACAAGUGCAUUUUUAAAGUAAUCUCCAUUGUUUAUCACUUUAUUUAUUUAUUGAGGUAACAUUGGUUUAUAACAUAAGUUUCAGGUGUACAUCAUCAUCAUCAUUAUUGUUGUUUAACACUUUAAUGGUAGAAGUCAUGGAUGAUUCUAGGCAGGUGAAUUACGCAAACAAACAUGCACAAGGAGGGGCGCAACCUUAUCAUAGUUAUAUAUGCAUUUAGGUUUAGUAGCUACUUGGGAAAUGGGAAUUUUUCUCUUGAUAAGACAAAUUAGCAAUCUGAUUUAGAGACAUUUUCUUUAAAUCAUCUGGUUGCUUUAUCUUACCAGAAACUGUGCUUUGGAUAUUCCUUUCUUUUUGUUACUUUUAUCAUUUGAUUCAAAGAGAGUAAGUAACAUUUUAAGAGCAAGCAUAGCUUACAUGGGACUCUUUCCAAAUUGUUUUACUUACAUAUUACUUUGUUUUUAAUCUUUCUUUUUAAGUAAAGGAUCUAAAAGUAUAUUCCACAAACAAAUUCAAGAAUCUGAAUAGCUGGUGAACCACUUGUUUGCCAUUUCAUAGGUACAAUUACUCUUAGUUUUACCCACAGUGAUUCAGUGUUAAAAAACGGAUAACAAAACUCAGUACUUUAUUUCUCUGUUUUAGGUUUUACUUUGACCAUGUAGCACAUGCCACCGAUUUCUAGGCAUUAGACUGAAUUUUUCAACAGUGAAUUAAUUAGCACAAAUUUUUUGUUAUAGUUGAGGGAGGGGGAGUAAAUAAAAUGGAGAGACAAGAUUAAGCAGAGUUGAGGGAAACAGGUUAUUUCAUCUUUCAAAGAUAAAGUUCUAUGGCAGGAAGCUUCUCGGUACUCAUUAGGAACACAAGCCUCCACACAUGCAUGGGAGAACGGGGAGCAAAAGGAAUUUCAAUUACUUUUUCAUGAAAUCUGACCCAGAGUGGAACAAAGAGAAUUCUAAAGCUUUUGCAUAUGGCCAUAUUUGGGGGGUUGGGGGGGACAUCAAUCUUUUUCCCCCUUCUCUGGUGUUGCUUGAACAAAAAGAAUUAUUGAAAUUGAACUUGUUCAGGUUUUUAUAAAUCAAGAUGUCAACAAAUACAAGCACUAGUCCAGUUACAAGAGACUGUAGUUUACAGAAUAAAACUAACCCUGUUUCUUUUUUUUAAGCUCUAUAAAGAACACAUUGUUUAUUCUUGUGUAGAAAAGUCAUGUAAAGAAGCUCUCUGUCAGGUACUCUAUUUUUAUUUAGUUGUUUCAUAACUCAAUUAUAAUGUUCCCCUCUGUCUAAUAAUUAGCAUACCCACAGUAAUGAAGCUUGAAAAGCUGUUCUUUUCCCCACUGUGUGUCAGUUAAACUUCCAGAUUGUUAUGGAGAAUGAGUUGUGCCUGUGUAGGUGAGUUGUCUUUCCCGCCUGCUCUGGCAGCUUGCCCCUGUGCAGUAGUUGAGGGUCAGCUCUUGGAGAAAGGCCCAGCCAGAGGCCUGAGCAGGGACUUCCUGCCAUCUGCAGCACAAGGAAAGAUGUCAGCAGGAAGCGCUCAAACGGCUCCUCUCCAGCUCUCCCAGGAUGACCAGUAUUUCCCCCAGUUCCACAACUAGGGAAAUUUAACAGUCACUUGAUGUACACGUUUUGAGCCCUGGAUUUGGUUGUCUUUCAUGCCCGGGUUUUUGUGGCCACUUACCACCUUUUGAAUACCCUUUCUAUGUUUGAGGAAUUCCCCACAGUAUGAGUCCUGCCUCUCCAUUGUAUAAGCCCCAAAUACACUUUCCCAGCUUCUCUUACAGCAAAUUUCUGACCUAGGCUCAGCCAAUCUGUCUUGCUUGUAGGAGA